Long non-coding RNA from Bufo gargarizans (Asiatic toad), 826 nucleotides. RefSeq lists it as uncharacterized. NCBI's taxonomy places the organism in Eukaryota, Metazoa, Chordata, Amphibia, Anura, Bufonidae. The record is from RefSeq and is a predicted model, not a curated record. The transcript is spliced from 3 exons.
UUCUUCUCCGGUAUAGUUCCCAUGGGUCUCUAAAGAUGGAAGGCCCCAUGACAGUGGGACGUAGAUGUCUUCUUGACUUGAAGAUGUGGUAGUCAUGAGCCAUUGUAAAGUCGUCAGGGGCAUCCUAUGUGUUUAGGAAGAACAAUCAUCAAAAUAAGAAUAACUUUAUAUGCAAAAAAAUCCUUCUGCAUUCUGAGAGCACAUUUCAGCCCUCCACUGCCAGCUGUAACGACCACAGAGCCUUCCUGUACCGACAGAAUGUGAACACCUCUUUCCUGAAGGAGUCAUGUGCAACAGAGGAGGAAGUAAAAGUCACAUCGUUAGAAUGAAGAAGCAAAUCAUUCACACACUGUCACCGGACAAAAGAAACCACAGCAGGAAGCCGUCAUGUGCCACUCUCCUUACUUCUGUAAUAUCUGACAGUACUGGGAAUCCGUCCUCUCCAAAACGCCCCUCAAACUAGAGUAAGAGGUAUAUAGUAUCAAUGACGCCAAGUCCAACUAUCUUCAUGGAAUGAUGAGUGUCGGCUGUGCAUGUUUGCAAUACGCAACACCCAUAGAAAUGGGAAAAAAAAAAAAAAAAGUCAUGCACAUGAGUGGUCACCUUUCUAUUCGUUCCCUGCUUGGAAGAAGCCACCACUGACUAUUUUAACAGGUGGAAUGAAAGUCGUGGACCACUGUUCUGGAGAUAGACCCGCUAAGUUUCAACCCGUGACCCUCGACAAAAUGGAGGCCAUAAUGAAGGCUCUUGUGGAGGCUAACCAGCAGCAGCAAGAAACCAACCUGCAACAACGGGAGGCUAACAGGCAGCAGCAAGAAACAAACCA